RNAcentral lists this ribosomal RNA (170 nucleotides) under uncultured bacterium. RNAcentral's name for it is "partial 16S ribosomal RNA". It matches the Rfam family "Bacterial small subunit ribosomal RNA", at positions 338 to 520 of the family's 1533-position model. The record is from RNAcentral.
CCUAGGGGAGGCAGCAGUAGGGAAUAUUGGGCAAUGGGCGCAAGCCUGACCCAGCGACGCCGCGUGAGGGAUGAAGGUCUUCGGAUUGUAAACCUCUUUCAGUAGGGAAGAAGCGAAAGUGACGGUACCUGAAGAAGAAGCACCGGCUAACUAUGUGCCAGCAGCCGCGG